Molecule: ribosomal RNA, 429 nt
Filed under: Acidobacteriota bacterium
Lineage: Bacteria; Pseudomonadati; Acidobacteriota
Description: Acidobacteria bacterium partial 16S ribosomal RNA
Rfam family: Bacterial small subunit ribosomal RNA
Source: RNAcentral
UGGGGAAUUUUGGACAAUGGGGGAAACCCUGAUCCAGCCAUCCCGCGUGUGCGAUGAAGGCCUUCGGGUUGUAAAGCACUUUUGGCAGGAAAGAAACGUCAUGGGUUAAUACCCCGUGAAACUGACGGUACCUGCAGAAUAAGCACCGGCUAACUACGUGCCAGCAGCCGCGGUAAUACGUAGGGUGCAAGCGUUAAUCGGAAUUACUGGGCGUAAAGCGUGCGCAGGCGGUUCGGAAAGAAAGAUGUGAAAUCCCAGAGCUCAACUUUGGAACUGCAUUUUUAACUACCGGGCUAGAGUGUGUCAGAGGGAGGUGGAAUUCCGCGUGUAGCAGUGAAAUGUGUAGAUAUGCGGAGGAACACCGAUGACGAAGGCAGCCUCCUGGGAUAACACUGACGCUCAUGCACGAAAGCGUGGGGAGCAAACAGG